AGCUUUGUGCAGUGGCAGUAUCAUAGCCAAUGAGGUUGAUCCGAGGUACGAUUAUUGCUAAUUGAAAACUUUUCCCAAUACCCUGCCAUGACGACUUGCAAUAUAGUUGGCAUUGGCAAUUUUUGACAGUCUCUACGGAGA
This is a small nuclear RNA of Callithrix jacchus (white-tufted-ear marmoset), 141 nucleotides long. Its record names the gene U4. It matches the Rfam family "U4 spliceosomal RNA". Rfam says of the family: U4 small nuclear RNA (U4 snRNA) is a component of the major U2-dependent spliceosome. The structure of U4 snRNA from yeast and human has been reported. The record is from Ensembl. Lineage: Eukaryota; Metazoa; Chordata; Mammalia; Primates; Cebidae.